This 325-nucleotide long non-coding RNA is filed under the name Homo sapiens (human). Its description in RNAcentral is "HSALNT0394034". The record is from RNAcentral. Lineage: Eukaryota; Metazoa; Chordata; Mammalia; Primates; Hominidae.
UUCUCACAAGAUCUGGUAGUUUGAAAGUGUGUAGCUCUUCUGCCUUUGUGUGCUUUCUCUCUCUCCUGCUUCCAAGUCAAGAUGUGCUGGCUUCUCCUUUGCCCUUCUGUCAUUAUUGUAAGUUUCAUGAGGCCUCGGAGCCACGCUUCCUGUAUAGCCUGCAGAACUGGAGUCCUCCAGGGAUGGCCAUACCUUUCUCUCCAAGAGCUUUGGCGAACUCUACUCCAAUCUGAACAGGUUACUCAAUGUGAAGAUGACAACAAGGGUGAAGACUUUAAUGAUGAUCCACUUCCACUUAAAAAAUAAUAAAUAUAUUUUCUCCUCC